RNAcentral lists this long non-coding RNA (764 nucleotides) under Mytilus galloprovincialis (Mediterranean mussel). Lineage: Eukaryota; Metazoa; Mollusca; Bivalvia; Mytilida; Mytilidae. The record is from RNAcentral.
AUUUAAGAAGACCGUAACACAAGAGUUGAGUGAAAUUAAACGAAUGAACAAGUUGUUUUUCUGCCACAGAGAAAGAUAUUCUCCAUAAUAAAUUACAAUUUUGCAUAAUCCUGGGUCCAAUAGGUACUAACAAACAACCGUAAUUUAUUAUCCUGUCAAUAAUGACAUUAGGGGGCCAUUGCCGUCGAUAACGCAAUAUCCAUGGCAUGACAUGGUAUGGUAAAUAUUUACUUCUAAGGCAGCAUGCGAUAUCCACAUCUUGAUUUGUAUUUGAUAAGCAGGGACCGUGUGUAGAUAAAUUAUACACCUGGGUUCUCUGCUUUAUAUGAUUUAAAAAGUUUGUCGUUGAUAAAUAUAGACCUGUUUGUGUAUUGACAAUACUUUCAUUAUAUACAAAGUCAUUUUCUCUUCUCCUUUCUGCUAUCAAUCUGAGUCUAGUAAAUCCAGGAUGAUCAGUAUCUGUCUCCAUAAAUACUUCAGUACGUUGUACCGGAUGUUUAAUAUUCCUUACAGUCCGUGUUACGUUUACAUAUCAUCGACAAACAUUAUAUCUAUGUCACUUCCUGGUAAAUCCAAUCCUUCUGCUAAACUCCCACUUGAUAUUUGUGUUUUAUCUUCGUCAGAUGCAUUGCUUAUUUUAUCAUUGUAAGAUAAACAGUAGUUGUCUUUUACGUAUGUCUAUUUCAGUACCUAUUGUUCUUAUAAGGUGGUUAACCAAGUGGUUUUCUAUAGAAUCAUUUUCAGUCCAAGACAAAUACUCUAUA